Molecule: ribosomal RNA, 438 nt
Filed under: Klebsiella pneumoniae
Lineage: Bacteria; Pseudomonadati; Pseudomonadota; Gammaproteobacteria; Enterobacterales; Enterobacteriaceae
Description: bacterial SSU rRNA
Rfam family: Bacterial small subunit ribosomal RNA
Source: RNAcentral
CCUACGGGUGGCAGCAGUGGGGAAUAUUGCACAAUGGGGGAAACCCUGAUGCAGCGACGCCGCGUGAACGAAGAAGGUAUUCGUAUCGUAAAGUUCUGUCCUAUGGGAAGAUAAUGACAGUACCAUAGAAGAAAGCUCCGGCUAAAUACGUGCCAGCAGCCGCGGUAAUACGUAUGGAGCGAGCGUUGUCCGGAAUUAUUGGGCGUAAAGGGUACGCAGGCGGUUUAAUAAGUCGAAUGUUAAAGAUCGGGGCUCAACCCCGUAAAGCAUUGGAAACUGAUAAACUUGAGUAGUGGAGAGGAAAGUGGAAUUCCUAGUGUAGUGGUGAAAUACGUAGAUAUUAGGAGGAAUACCAGUAGCGAAGGCGACUUUCUGGACACAAACUGACGCUGAGGUACGAAAGCGUGGGGAGCAAACAGGAUUAGAUACCCUGGUAGU